CACCCUCUUAGGCCAGAGAAUUCCUCAUGGGCGCCAAACUCUUUUCCUUUAUUUUCCUUCUCACAUACGUCUCUUUCUCUAUUGUCUUCAUACGCUCUCUCUCUCAUAAAAACCCUAAUUCUCCAUUUCUUUCGAUCAUCUCCCCUUUCUCUUCACAAACCCUAAUAUUCUCUGCUGAUCAAUGGCUAUUUUCAUGAAAUCCUAAGUCUCAACGGAUCGAUCCAUGAAACGCCAUUCUUCCCAUUUCCAUCUAUCUCUAACGAAACCCUAGCUGCGAUGCGAUGAGAUGAAGAUCAUAAUCAAAUCCAACCGAUCAGUUAGUUUUCUGAUACAAGAGGAUGGCAGUAGUGCAAUUGAAAUAGAAAACUUGGAUCUUGAUGUUGUUGAACUUCAAAGCAUUUUGAUAUGUGGGUUGUUUUGGUUCAUGAGGGUUAGGAUAUUUGAAUCAAUUAUCUGGAUGUUUUCGGGCCACUGGAUGUUACUGCAGGUAUUUUUUUUCCCCGUAAGUUUGUAUAUUUUACCCUAAUAAACUUCUUACAUAUUGAUGUAAUUAAUUCUUGGUUUGUGAAGCCAUGAUGUAAUUAAUUCUUGGUUUGUGAAGCCGUUGUUUGAGGCGAUGAGUGAGCCGAAUAAGUGGGUGCAUUCACAUUGACUUGUAUUUGAAGGUAAAUACCUAUCGUACCAGACCGGUACCGAAACCACUAAUUGUCGGCACCGAAAAUCAAACCGGUUCAGGAAAUUUGGUUUUGGAUAAUUUUGUGUUUUUAAGUCCUUGAAUUCGUGUUUUCCUUUCCUUUUUCUUUGUUGAUAAUGGUUUUGAUUUAGUCAUAAUUCAUAUACAUAUAAUUUCAUUUGUGAGUGGAAUGUGAUUGUCAGCAACACAUAGCCACACAGACAAAAUUGAUAUUCGCUAUUUAAGAGAUUUAUGUCACUGGCCCUAUACAUGGUCUAAGAACACUAAGUUACAUACUUAAUGUGCAGCUGAACACUCACCAACCACUAUGGUCGUCAUUAUGAUGCUCAUUUAGUAUAUCUGGUUGAUUACCUCACUAACUCAUUUCAUUAAAAAAAGAAAAAUGAAAUGCUGGUGUUAAUGCUGGAAGUGAAGAAAAUUUAUGUUUUUGAUAUCCGUGUCGAUUUUUUUGGGAUUCAAGCUUAAUACGGAAAACUUAUAUUGUGAAAUAACUUAUAAUAAACAUUUAUUCACCACCGGUGCACGUUGUUCUUUUUUACACAGUUUCAAAGGCAUCACGUUAAAUUGAAAGAGAGAAAAGCUUCACUUAUGAGGAAAUGAAACGUGCUACAAAUAAUUUUGAUGUUGGUAGUGAAAUUUGGCAGAGUGGGUAUGGAAAAGUAUACAAAGGCAUCUUUUUGCAUAGAUUAUGUGAUGAAGAAGGCAAACUGGAGGAAUGCUCAUCUUAGCAAGUCAUGCAUCAUGGCGGUUAGCAGGCAAUUAUUCAUCAUUUUUUCAUUGUGUUGGAUCAAGUGAAAAGUGUUUUAAGCUAAUUUUAAUGUCUUGCAUAGCCGUCAAAUUUUAACAAAAGGGCAUGGAAACUAUUAUAUUAUAUCAUUCAUGUUUCCCUUCUUUUAGGACCGGAUCAUCAUAAAUAGAAAUAUAUAUUUUGGUGUCAUCUUGAUAAUGCAUUCAAGGGAGCCAAUUUUGAUGCAAAGAACUCCUCUCUAUAACUGGUACAUUCUUGUGCAAGGAGUUCACUAUUUCAUUUUAUUUGUUUGUUCAGGACCAUCUAAGUUGAGUAUGUAUCUAAAUUGGGUGGUCAAAGAGGUUGGUUAACGGGUCAAAGUGGGUUGGCGUAAAACAUGUAAAUUUAUAGGGCGGGUCAAGAUCAGUAGCGUUUAACUGCCAUCACUUUAUUUGCAAUCUUUAUCAAAAUUUUAUUGAGAAUAUGCACGCUUCUUUAUACACUCGAAGUUAAGAUAUGUUCAUUUGACUUCGGUUAUUUGUCUCCAUUUUAGGCAUGCUUUAUAACAAUAAUCUUGAAGGAAACAUGCCCGAAAAGUUGAGAACCUCAAUUUUUGUGUUUACCAACUCUGUGCAAGACUCACCUGUUUGACGUAGGUCCUUUUCAAGUUUUGUGUUAUCAUUAAUUAUAUGUCUUUCAAGAGGUACUAAACGCUCAGACAAGUGAUGAUGGUUCACACAUCAUGAUUGGCAAGGGACCCGGUGCUGGAUAUAAUAUAAAUGUUCCAUGGGAGAGUGCUGCUAAAGGACAGCGAUUACUAGGGCAAGGAUUGAGAAGGCUGAUGGUGAAUGUUUAACAUUUGACCCGCUGGCUCUUAGAGCUCCACUUGGACAGAACAUGGUUCUACUUAGAGCUCCAAAGAGUGCUUGUGAGGCAUCCAAGCACUUUUGAAAAGCGCCUGGUGUCCGACACAGUCACACCGCAAGUUUUGGUGUUUGGCAAUGGAAUUCGACACUCAGGAAAAAUUUCUACAAUCUGAACGUUGCUACCUCACGAUACACAGUCCAGGUAACCGGGACUUUCUUGAUGCUUAAACAACAAAAAAUUGUAGUUUUUUCGACUUCAUUAUAUUAGAAAAAAAUAUAUUUGUCACAGGUUGCUUUCCUUUGUUAUUAUCGUUACUACACACCUAUAACUGCUAUAAUCUUUUGGAUUGCAAGAGUCAACCCCAUCAAUUUAGGUUUCUGGCGAUACAUUCAGGGAGGGAGAUACGGUAAAGAUGCCUCCAAAGUUAGAGUAUUAUUGGUCAAAACGAAUCUAAUCGGUUCCAACCGAACAGCGGUGUAAAUCAGAUGUUGCAUUCUUUUGAUUAUAUCACAAAUUUAUUACAAAUUUGACUUUUUCCGUUAUUUUUAACUUUUUCUUUUUAUUCAUUUAUUGUAUACCUUACAACAAAAGUUUUGUAUAAGGAAAUAUUUUGAUCCAAUCUUUUUCGUUUGUCUCCUUUAGAGAUAUCCUCGAAAUGCAUAUUGUGGUGAGGUUAUUGGAAGGGGCUAGCAUUGCUUUCUGUGGUACUGUAAUAGUGGGGUGUUGGAGCUUGUGGAGGGUGAGAAAUAACUUGGAAGUUCUCGAAUAAACCGGUUCAGAUUGAAGACAUUAUUAGCGAAGUAACGUCGGUUGGCUUCUUAUGGUUUAGAAGUAGAUUGAAGUUUAAAGAAUUAUCUUGGGAGAAUUCGUGUAAAUUUCUAAUUAUGUAGUCAUGUUUUGUGGUCGGCC
Helianthus annuus (common sunflower) is the source of this 3197-nucleotide long non-coding RNA. RefSeq lists it as uncharacterized. Lineage: Eukaryota; Viridiplantae; Streptophyta; Magnoliopsida; Asterales; Asteraceae. The record is from RefSeq and is a predicted model, not a curated record. The transcript has 8 exons.